ACACAAACUGGUCCUGGAUAUCAUCCCUUGGGUGAAGAUCAGGCUCACCAUGCACUCGAUUCCUCUAGCCGGAUGAUCCAACUUAUCUAAAACGAACUCCAGACUUUCCAGUUCGAGCUUCUUGAAAGACCACUUCCUUAUGCCAUAGCUCUCGUCACACUCGAAGAAUUAGCGUCUGGUGCUCACAACCAUUUGACAACAAGCUUCCAACGAUCGGCUUCCAAGCUACGAGGUCAUCUUCCAACGAUCGGCUUCCACGUCUAUCUGUCUCAUCGAGCAGGGGGUGGCAAGAUGAACUACCCAGCCAAGAGGUCUAUAUUAUAAACUCUUUUUCCAGGCCGGAAAACCAUGAUGCUUGAUGUCAUGAGAACUCCUGCAGGUGAGCGGGGCUAAGCCACACAAGCAUUCUCCAUCUGUUCAGCAAGUGUAUCAGUCAGUACGAGAAACUCAGGAAGAAGCAGGCUUUCUUGGACAAUUACCGCA
Selaginella moellendorffii is the source of this 483-nucleotide long non-coding RNA. RefSeq lists it as uncharacterized. The transcript is spliced from 4 exons. The record is from RefSeq and is a predicted model, not a curated record. NCBI's taxonomy places the organism in Eukaryota, Viridiplantae, Streptophyta, Lycopodiopsida, Selaginellales, Selaginellaceae.